UACGGACUGGAUAAACGCUGAAGGCAUCUAAGCGUGAAACCAACUCUAAGAUGAGACUUCCCAUCGCGCAAGCGAGUAAGGCCCCACGAAGACUACGUGGUUGAUAGGCCGGAGAUGUAAGUGCAGUAAUGCAUUGAGUCGACCGGUACUAAUAGGCCGAGGGCUUGACCUU
Molecule: ribosomal RNA, 172 nt
Filed under: Candidatus Ventrousia excrementavium
Lineage: Bacteria; Bacillati; Bacillota; Clostridia; Eubacteriales; Clostridiaceae
Description: partial 23S ribosomal RNA
Rfam family: Bacterial large subunit ribosomal RNA
Source: RNAcentral